This 490-nucleotide ribosomal RNA is filed under the name uncultured bacterium. RNAcentral describes it as "partial 16S ribosomal RNA". It matches the Rfam family "Bacterial small subunit ribosomal RNA", at positions 30 to 507 of the family's 1533-position model. The record is from RNAcentral.
AUUGAACGCUGGCGGCAGGCCUAACACAUGCAAGUCGAACGGUAACAGGAAGAAGCUUGCUUCUUUGCUGACGAGUGGCGGACGGGUGAGUAAUGUCUGGGAAACUGCCUGAUGGAGGGGGAUAACUACUGGAAACGGUAGCUAAUACCGCAUAACGUCGCAAGACCAAAGAGGGGGACCUUCUGGCCUCUUGCCAUCGGAUAUGCCCAGGUGGGAUUAGCUAGUAGGUGGGGUAACGGCUCACCUAGGCGACGAUCCCUAGCUGGCCUGAGAGGAUGACCAGCCACACUGGAACUGAGACACGGUCCAGACUCCUACGGGAGGCAGCAGUGGGGAAUAUUGCACAAUGGGCGCAAGCCUGAUGCAGCCAUGCCGCGUGUAUGAAGAAGGCCUUCGGGUUGUAAAGUACUUUCAGCGGGGAGGAAGGGAGUAAAGUUAAUACCUUUGCUCAUUGACGGUACCCGCAGAAGAAGCACCGGCUAACUCCGUG